RNAcentral lists this transfer RNA (71 nucleotides) under Sphaerodactylus townsendi. Its description in RNAcentral is "tRNA-Ala". The record is from RNAcentral. Lineage: Eukaryota; Metazoa; Chordata; Lepidosauria; Squamata; Sphaerodactylidae.
GGGCCGUGGCUCAGUGGCAGAGCAGUUGCUUGGCAUGCAGAAGGUCCCAGGUCCAAUCUCCAGCAUGUCCA